This 446-nucleotide ribosomal RNA is filed under the name uncultured bacterium. Its description in RNAcentral is "bacterial SSU rRNA". It matches the Rfam family "Bacterial small subunit ribosomal RNA", at positions 355 to 796 of the family's 1533-position model. The record is from RNAcentral.
UCGAGGAUCUUCGGCAAUGGGCGCAAGCCUGACCGAGCGACGCCGCGUGCGGGAUGAAGGCCUUCGGGUUGUAAACCGCCGUCGGAGUGGAGGAAAUUCCAUAGGGUAAUCUCUAUGGAUUGACUAAUACUCAGAGGAAGGACGGGCUAAGUUCGUGCCAGCAGCCGCGGUAAUACGAACCGUCCAAACGUUAUUCGGAAUCACUGGGCUUAAAGGGUGCGUAGGCGGCUCAGAAAGUAGGGUGUGAAAUCCCUCGGCUUAACCGAGGAAUUGCGCCCUAAACUACUGGACUCGAGGAAGACAGAGGUAAGCGGAACUUACGGUGGAGCGGUGAAAUGCGUUGAUAUCGUAAGGAACACCAGGAGCGAAAGCGGCUUACUGGGUCUUUUCUGACGCUGAGGCACGAAAGCUAGGGGAGCGAACGGGAUUAGAUACCCGCGUAGUCC